CCUACGGGGGGCAGCAGUGGGGAAUAUUGCACAAUGGGCGCAAGCCUGAUGCAGCGACGCCGCGUGAGCGAUGAAGGCCUUCGGGUUGUAAAGCUCUGUCCUAAGGGAAGAAUAAUGACGGUACCUUAGGAGGAAGCCUCGGCUAACUACGUGCCAGCAGCCGCGGUAAUACGUAGGGGGCGAGCGGUAUCCGGACUCACUGGGCGGAAUGGGUGCGUAGGCGGCCCUGCAAGUCAGGAGUUAAAUCCCUCGGCUCAACCGAGGUCAGCCCUUGAAACUGUAGGGCUUGAGUGCAGGAGAGGAGAGCGGGAUUCCUAGUGUAGCCGUGAAAUGCGUAGAAGUUAGGAGGAACGCCAGUAGAGAAGGCGGCUCUCUGGACUGCAACUGACGCUGACGCAGGAAAGCGUAGAUGGCGAACAGGAUUAGAUACCCGUGUAGUC
This 440-nucleotide ribosomal RNA is filed under the name uncultured bacterium. RNAcentral's name for it is "bacterial SSU rRNA". It matches the Rfam family "Bacterial small subunit ribosomal RNA", at positions 338 to 795 of the family's 1533-position model. The record is from RNAcentral.